AUGGCCGGAGCCUCAGCACAUGAACUUUCUCAGACCUUUCACUGCUUCUCCGGCUCAGGCGAGACAAAGCAGAGACAUCAAUCUCCUUCGUCUCAUCCCGUUGAUUCAAGCCAAGUUGUCUACUCUACUAGGCCACGAAGCACGAGCUUUCCGGCUAGCUCGCGACGGACACCUUCCGGGAGUCUUGAUGCCAGCAACGGGCCUCCGAUCCCGACGAGAGCCGCUGCUGCCUCCGGGCUGCCUUCCUGGAGCAGAUGGCGUCGAGCUGCAUCUGCUCGUCGCGGCACUCCUCGCUGCAGAAGGGCGUGUCCCCUCUGUACAUGA
This 324-nucleotide ribosomal RNA is filed under the name Triticum aestivum (bread wheat). RNAcentral describes it as "partial small subunit ribosomal RNA". The record is from RNAcentral. Lineage: Eukaryota; Viridiplantae; Streptophyta; Magnoliopsida; Poales; Poaceae.